GUCUCUUUACAGCCAGUCACUUCCACAACAUUUAGUAGUUCUACUUCUACAGCUCCUUUACACACAGUCACUUCCACAACAUCUACCAGUCCCACUACUACAGUUCAUUUACAACCAGCCACUUCCACAACAUCUACUACUUCUACUUCAGCAGUCUCUUUACAGCCAGUCACUUCCACAACAU
Molecule: long non-coding RNA, 184 nt
Organism: Carassius auratus (goldfish)
Lineage: Eukaryota; Metazoa; Chordata; Actinopteri; Cypriniformes; Cyprinidae
Exons: 4
Source: RefSeq, a predicted model, not a curated record